AGAUUGUACGCUGGCGGCAGGCCUAACACAUGCAAGUCGAGCGGUAGAGAGGUGCUUGCACCUCUUGAGAGCGGCGGACGGGUGAGUAAUGCCUAGGAAUCUGCCUAGUGGUGGGGGAUAACGUUCGGAAACGGACGCUAAUACCGCAUACGUCCUACGGGAGAAAGCGGGGGACCUUCGGGCCUCGCGCCAUUAGAUGAGCCUAGGUCGAUUAGCUAGUUGGUGAGGUAAUGGCUCACCAAGGCGACGAUCCGUAACUGGUCUGAGAGGAUGAUCAGUCACACUGGAACUGAGACACGGUCCAGACUCCUACGGGAGCAGCAGUGGGAAUAUUGGACAAUGGGCAAAGCCUGAUCCAGCCAUGCCGCGUGUGUGAAGAAGGUCUUCGGAUUGAAAGCACGUUUAAGUGGAGGUAAGGUUGUAACUUAAUACGUGACUAACUUUGACGUUACGACAGUAAUAAGCACCGGAUAACUUCGU
RNAcentral lists this ribosomal RNA (480 nucleotides) under uncultured soil bacterium. RNAcentral describes it as "bacterial SSU rRNA". It matches the Rfam family "Bacterial small subunit ribosomal RNA", at positions 26 to 506 of the family's 1533-position model. The record is from RNAcentral.